UACGUAGGGGGCUAGCGUUGUCCGGAAUCAUUGGGCGUAAAGAGCGUGUAGGCGGCUCGGUAAGUCCGCUGUGAAAGUCCAGGGCUCAACCCUGGAAUGCCAGUGGAAACUGUCGAGCUAGAGUCCGGAAGAGGCGAGCGGAAUUCCUGGUGUAGCGGUGAAAUGCGCAGAUAUCAGGAGGAACACCAAUGGCGAAGGCAGCUCGCUGGGACGGUACUGACGCUGAGACGCGAAAGCGUGGGGAGCAAACAGG
RNAcentral lists this ribosomal RNA (253 nucleotides) under uncultured bacterium. Its description in RNAcentral is "partial 16S ribosomal RNA". It matches the Rfam family "Bacterial small subunit ribosomal RNA", at positions 524 to 776 of the family's 1533-position model. The record is from RNAcentral.